Molecule: ribosomal RNA, 433 nt
Filed under: uncultured bacterium
Lineage: Bacteria
Description: partial 16S ribosomal RNA
Rfam family: Bacterial small subunit ribosomal RNA
Source: RNAcentral
AACGAACGCUGGCGGCAUGCCAAACACAUGCAAGCCGAGCGAGACCGUCGGGACUUGUGGCGCACGACAGAGUAACGCGUGGGAACCUGCCAUUAGGUUCGGAAUAACUGCCCGAAAGGGGUGCUAAUACCGGAUAAUUUCUUCGGACCAAAGAUUUAUCGCCUUUGGAUGUGCCCGCGUUGGAUUAGCUAGUUGGUAGGGUAAAAGCCUACCAAGGCUACGAUCCAUAGCUGGUCUGAGAGGAUGAUCAGCCACACUGGAACUGAGACACGGCCCAGACUCUUCCGGGAGGCAGAAGUGGGGAAUAUUGGACAAUGGGCCAAAGCCUGAUCAGUCAAUGCCGCGUAAGUUAUGAACGCCUUCGGGUCGCAAACCUCUUUUUCCCGGGCUGAUACUGCCAUUCCCGGGAGACUCCGCCACGGCUCCCUCCGUG